RNAcentral lists this ribosomal RNA (1050 nucleotides) under Nocardiopsis dassonvillei. RNAcentral describes it as "bacterial SSU rRNA". It matches the Rfam family "Bacterial small subunit ribosomal RNA", at positions 323 to 1369 of the family's 1533-position model. The record is from RNAcentral. Lineage: Bacteria; Bacillati; Actinomycetota; Actinomycetes; Streptosporangiales; Nocardiopsidaceae.
GACACGGCCCAGACUCCUGCGGGAGGCAGCAGUGGGGAAUAUUGCGCAAUGGGCGAAAGCCUGACGCAGCGACGCCGCGUGGGGGAUGACGGCCUUCGGGUUGUAAACCUCUUUUACCACCAACGCAGGCUCGGAGUUUUCUUCGGGUUGACGGUAGGUGGGGAAUAAGGACCGGCUAACUACGUGCCAGCAGCCGCGGUAAUACGUAGGGUCCGAGCGUUGUCCGGAAUUAUUGGGCGUAAAGAGCUCGUAGGCGGCGUGUCGCGUCUGCUGUGAAAGACCGGGGCUUAACUCCGGUUCUGCAGUGGAUACGGGCAUGCUAGAGGUAGGUAGGGGAGACUGGAAUUCCUGGUGUAGCGGUGAAAUGCGCAGAUAUCAGGAGGAACACCGGUGGCGAAGGCGGGUCUCUGGGCCUUACCUGACGCUGAGGAGCGAAAGCAUGGGGAGCGAACAGGAUUAGAUACCCUGGUAGUCCAUGCCGUAAACGUUGGGCGCUAGGUGUGGGGACUUUCCACGGUUUCCGCGCCGUAGCUAACGCAUUAAGCGCCCCGCCUGGGGAGUACGGCCGCAAGGCUAAAACUCAAAGGAAUUGACGGGGGCCCGCACAAGCGGCGGAGCAUGUUGCUUAAUUCGACGCAACGCGAAGAACCUUACCAAGGUUUGACAUCACCCGUGGACUCGCAGAGAUGUGAGGUCAUUUAGUUGGCGGGUGACAGGUGGUGCAUGGCUGUCGUCAGCUCGUGUCGUGAGAUGUUGGGUUAAGUCCCGCAACGAGCGCAACCCUUGUUCCAUGUUGCCAGCACGUAAUGGUGGGGACUCAUGGGAGACUGCCGGGGUCAACUCGGAGGAAGGUGGGGAUGACGUCAAGUCAUCAUGCCCCUUAUGUCUUGGGCUGCAAACAUGCUACAAUGGCCGGUACAAUGGGCGUGCGAUACCGUAAGGUGGAGCGAAUCCCUAAAAGCCGGUCUCAGUUCGGAUUGGGGUCUGCAACUCGACCCCAUGAAGGUGGAGUCGCUAGUAAUCGCGGAUCAGCAACGCCGCGGUGAAUAC